Molecule: ribosomal RNA, 459 nt
Filed under: uncultured bacterium
Lineage: Bacteria
Description: bacterial SSU rRNA
Rfam family: Bacterial small subunit ribosomal RNA
Source: RNAcentral
AACGAACGCUGGCGGCAGGCCUAACACAUGCAAGUCGAGCGAACCCUUCGGGGUUAGCGGCGGACGGGUUAGUAACGCGUGGGAACGUGCCCAAAGGUACGGAAUAGCCUCGGGAAACUGAGAGUAAUACCGUAUGUGCCCCUCGGGGGAAAGAUUUAUCGCCUUUGGAUCGGCCCGCGUUGGAUUAGGUAGUUGGUGGGGUAAUGGCCUACCAAGCCGACGAUCCAUAGCUGGUUUGAGAGGAUGAUCAGCAACACUGGGACUGAGACACGGCCCAGACUCCUACGGGAGGCAGCAGUGGGGAAUCUUAGACAAUGGGGGAAACCCUGAUCUAGCCAUGCCGCGUGGACGAUGAAGGCCUUAGGGUUGUAAAGUCCUUUCAGCUGGGAAGAUAAUGACGGUACCAGCAGAAGAAGCCCCGGCUAACUCCGUGCCAGCAGCCGCGGUAAAGUCUGUACU